RNAcentral lists this ribosomal RNA (468 nucleotides) under uncultured bacterium. Its description in RNAcentral is "partial 16S ribosomal RNA". It matches the Rfam family "Bacterial small subunit ribosomal RNA", at positions 28 to 507 of the family's 1533-position model. The record is from RNAcentral.
GACGAACGCUGGCGGCGUGCUUAACACAUGCAAGUCGAACGGAAAGGCCCUGCUUUUGUGGGGUGCUCGAGUGGCGAACGGGUGAGUAACACGUGAGUAACCUGCCCUUGACUUUGGGAUAACUUCAGGAAACUGGGGCUAAUACCGGAUAGGAGCUCCUGCUGCAUGGUGGGGGUUGGAAAGUUUCGGCGGUUGAGGAUGGACUCGCGGCUUAUCAGCUUGUUGGUGGGGUAGUGGCUUACCAAGGCUUUGACGGGUAGCCGGCCUGAGAGGGUGACCGGCCACAUUGGGACUGAGAUACGGCCCAGACUCCUACGGGAGGCAGCAGUGGGGAAUAUUGCACAAUGGGCGGAAGCCUGAUGCAGCAACGCCGCGUGCGGGAUGACGGCCUUCGGGUUGUAAACCGCUUUCGCCUGUGGCGAAGCGUGAGUGACGGUAAUGGGUAAAGAAGCACCGGCUAACUACGUG